AUUGAACGCUGGCGGAAUGCUUUACACAUGCAAGUCGAACGGCAGCACGGGGCAACCUGGUGGCGAGUGGCGAACGGGUGAGUAAUACAUCGGAACGUGCCCAAUCGUGGGGAUAACGUAGCGAAGUUACGCUAAUACCGCAUACGAUCUACGGAUGAAAGCGGGGAUCGCAAGACCUCGCGCGAAUGGAGCGGCCGAUGUCAGAUUAGGUAGUUGGUGGGGUAAAGGCUCACCAAGCCAACGAUCUGUAGCUGGUCUGAGAGGACGACCAGCCACACUGGAACUGAGACACGGUCCAGACUCCUACGGGAGGCAGCAGUGGGGAAUUUUGGACAAUGGGCGCAAGCCUGAUCCAGCCAUUCCGCGUGCAGGAUGAAGGCCUUC
Molecule: ribosomal RNA, 384 nt
Filed under: uncultured bacterium
Lineage: Bacteria
Description: bacterial SSU rRNA
Rfam family: Bacterial small subunit ribosomal RNA
Source: RNAcentral